AUUCUUUAGAUUUAAUAAUUUAAGGUGCCCCCUGCUCAAUGGUGUGUUUAAAUAGCCGCAGUAAUAUGACUGUGCGAAGGUAGCAUAAUAAUUUGCCUUUUAAUUAGAGGCUGGUAUGAAUGGGGUAAUGAGAUCUACACUUUAUUAAUUUAUUUAUUUAUAAAUUAAAUUUUAAGUUAAAAUUCUUAAAUUGAUACAAAGGACGAGAAGACCCUAUAGAAUUUUAUAAUGUUAAAUUUUUUAUUAUUUAUAAUUUAUUAAUAAAAAUUAGCUAAGGGUUUGCAUUAUUUAGUUGGGAGGACUUUUAAAUUAAUUAAACUUUAAAAUUUAUAGAACAUUAGUUUGUGAAUUUUUGAUUAUGAUUUACAUAUAUUAGAAUUAAUUACCUUAGGGAUAACAGCGUAAUGCUUUUGGAUAGUUCAUAUAUAUAAAAGCGUUUGCGACCUCGAUGUUGAAUUAAGAUUAGAUUAUAAGUAGAGUUAUAAUUGUAAAGUCUGUUCGACUUAUAAAAUCUUACGUGAUCUGAGUUCA
This 531-nucleotide ribosomal RNA is filed under the name Pseudomyrmex sp. BOLD:ACA3616. Its description in RNAcentral is "partial 16S ribosomal RNA". It matches the Rfam family "Bacterial large subunit ribosomal RNA", at positions 1829 to 2613 of the family's 2925-position model. The record is from RNAcentral. Lineage: Eukaryota; Metazoa; Arthropoda; Insecta; Hymenoptera; Formicidae.